Molecule: ribosomal RNA, 349 nt
Filed under: Rhizobium sp. 221S
Lineage: Bacteria; Pseudomonadati; Pseudomonadota; Alphaproteobacteria; Hyphomicrobiales; Rhizobiaceae
Description: bacterial SSU rRNA
Rfam family: Bacterial small subunit ribosomal RNA
Source: RNAcentral
CUUCGGGGACCGGAACACAGGUGCUGCAUGGCUGUCGUCAGCUCGUGUCGUGAGAUGUUGGGUUAAGUCCCGCAACGAGCGCAACCCUCGCCCUUAGUUGCCAGCAUUUAGUUGGGCACUCUAAGGGGACUGCCGGUGAUAAGCCGAGAGGAAGGUGGGGAUGACGUCAAGUCCUCAUGGCCCUUACGGGCUGGGCUACACACGUGCUACAAUGGUGGUGACAGUGGGCAGCGAAGGAGCGAUCCCGAGCUAAUCUCCAAAAGCCAUCUCAAUUCGGAUUGCACUCUGCAACUCGAGUGCAUGAAGUUGGAAUCGCUAGUAAUCGCGGAUCAGCACGCCGCGGUGAAUA